CCUAUGAAGCUUUACUGUAACUUGAAAUUGAAAUUGGACUUUAUUCGCGCAGUAUAGGUGGGAGGUGUUGAUUAUAAUCUUGCGGGAUUAUUGGAGCCAUCAGUGAGAUACCACUCUUGUAAUGUUAGAUUUCUAACUUUGAAUCAUUAUCUGGUCAAAGAACAGUUUCAGGCGGGCAGUUUGACUGGGGCGGUCGCCUCCCAAAUGGUAACGGAGGCGUACAAAGGUUUCCUCUGAACGGGUAGAAAUCGUAUCUAGAGUGUAAAGGCAUAAGGAAGCUUGACUGUGAGACCUACAAGUCGAGCAGGGACGAAAGUCGGUCUUAGUGAUCUGACGGUACUGAGUGGAAAGG
Molecule: ribosomal RNA, 352 nt
Filed under: Skeletonema marinoi
Lineage: Eukaryota; Bacillariophyta; Thalassiosirophyceae; Thalassiosirales; Thalassiosiraceae
Also listed under: 2 other names
Description: bacterial LSU rRNA
Rfam family: Bacterial large subunit ribosomal RNA
Source: RNAcentral